GAUGAAGAACGUAGCGAAAUGCGAUAAGUAAUGUGAAUUGCAGAAUUCAGUGAAUCAUCGAAUCUUUGAACGCAUCUUGCGCUCCUUGGUAUUCCGAGGAGCAUGCCUGUUUGAGUGUCAUUCAACUUGUCAACCACUUUGGAAGUUGUUUUUCAAUGUGGCUUGGAUGUGGGGGAUUUGCAGGCUUUUCUUCUGUCUGCUCUCCUGAAAUGCAUUAGUGGUGUCUUAAAGGGUUCACAACCACAGGUGUGAUAAAUUAUCUAUGCCUUUGGUAUGAACAGAACUGUGCUGCUUCUAAAUGAAAUGAGUCCUUGCAGGCUCUUUCUUUUGAUGAAUUUGACCUCAAAUCAGGUAGGACUACCCGCUGAACUUAAGCAUAUCAAUAAGCGGAGGA
Molecule: unclassified non-coding RNA, 394 nt
Filed under: soil metagenome
Description: partial contains 5.8S ribosomal RNA, internal transcribed spacer 2, and large subunit ribosomal RNA
Rfam family: 5.8S ribosomal RNA (bases 1-120)
Source: RNAcentral